RNAcentral lists this ribosomal RNA (466 nucleotides) under uncultured bacterium. Its description in RNAcentral is "bacterial SSU rRNA". It matches the Rfam family "Bacterial small subunit ribosomal RNA", at positions 954 to 1418 of the family's 1533-position model. The record is from RNAcentral.
UGGGAACGCGAAGAACCUUACCAGGCCUUGACAUGCAGAGAACUUUCCAGAGAUGGAUUGGUGCCUUCGGGAACUCUGGCACAGGUGCUGCAUGGCUGUCGUCAGCUCGUGUCGUGAGGUGUUGGGUUAAGUCCCGUAACGAGCGCAACCCUUGUCCUUAGUUACCAGCACGUUAAGGUGGGCACUCUAAGGAGACUGCCGGUGACAAACCGGAGGAAGGUGGGGAUGACGUCAAGUCAUCAUGGCCCUUACGGCCUGGGCUACACACGUGCUACAAUGGUCGGUACAAAGGGUUGCCAAGCCGCGAGGUGGAGCUAAUCCCAUAAAACCGAUCGUAGUCCGGAUCGCAGUCUGCAACUCGACUGCGUGAAGUCGGAAUCGCUAGUAAUCGUGAAUCAGAAUGUCACGGUGAAUACGUUCCCGGGUCUUGUACACACCGAAUCUAGAUGCAUCGCGAGUUAGCCCG